CCGGCGAUGUCCGAAUGGGGAAACCCAGUGUGACUCGUCACACUAUCAUUAACUGAAUCCAUAGGUUAAUGAGGCGAACCGGGGGAACUGAAACAUCUAAGUACCCCGAGGAAAAGAAAUCAACCGAGAUUCCCCCAGUAGCGGCGAGCGAACGGGGAGGAGCCCAGAGCCUGAAUCAGCUUGUGUGUUAGUGGAAGCGUCUGGAAAGUCGCGCGAUACAGGGUGACAGCCCCGUACACAAAAGCACACAGGCUGUGAGCUCGAUGAGUAGGGCGGGACACGUGGUAUCCUGUCUGAAUAUGGGGGGACCAUCCUCCAAGGCUAAAUACUCCUGACUGACCGAUAGUGAACCAGUACCGUGAGGGAAAGGCGAAAAGAACCCCGGCGAGGGGAGUGAAAAAGAACCUGAAACCGUGUACGUACAAGCAGUGGGAGCCUCUUGAUGGGGUGACUGCGUACCUUUUGUAUAAUGGGUCAGCGACUUAUAUUCUGUAGCAAGGUUAACCGAAUAGGGGAGCCGAAGGGAAACCGAGUCUUAACUGGGCGUUAAGUUGCAGGGUAUAGACCCGAAACCCGGUGAUCUAGCCAUGGGCAGGUUGAAGGUUGGGUAACACUAACUGGAGGACCGAACCGACUAAUGUUGAAAAAUUAGCGGAUGACCUGUGGCUGGGGGUGAAAGGCCAAUCAAACCGGGAGAUAGCUGGUUCUCCCCGAAAGCUAUUUAGGUAGCGCCUCGUGAAUUCAUCUCCGGGGGUAGAGCACUGUUUCGGCUAGGGGGCCAUCCCGGCUUACCAACCCGAUGCAAACUACGAAUACCGGAGAAUGUUAUCACGGGAGACACACGGCGGGUGCUAACGUCCGUCGUGAAGAGGGAAACAACCCAGACCGCCAGCUAAGGUCCCAAAGUCAUGGUUAAGUGGGAAACGAUGUGGGAAGGCCCAGACAGCCAGGAUGUUGGCUUAGAAGCAGCCAUCAUUUAAAGAAAGCGUAAUAGCUCACUGGUCGAGUCGGCCUGCGCGGAAGAUGUAACGGGGCUAAACCAUGCACCGAAGCUGCGGCAGCGACACUAUGUGUUGUUGGGUAGGGGAGCGUUCUGUAAGCCUGCGAAGGUGGCCUGUGAGGGUUGCUGGAGGUAUCAGAAGUGCGAAUGCUGACAUAAGUAACGAUAAAGCGGGUGAAAAGCCCGCUCGCCGGAAGACCAAGGGUUCCUGUCCAACGUUAAUCGGGGCAGGGUGAGUCGACCCCUAAGGCGAGGCCGAAAGGCGUAGUCGAUGGGAAACAGGUUAAUAUUCCUGUACUUGGUGUUACUGCGAAGGGGGGACGGAGAAGGCUAUGUUAGCCGGGCGACGGUUGUCCCGGUUUAAGCGUGAAGGUGUGUGCUCCAGGCAAAUCCGGAGUGCUUUAACACUGAGGCGUGAUGACGAGGCACUACGGUGCUGAAGUAACAAAUGCCCUGCUUCCAGGAAAAGCCUCUAAGCAUCAGGUAACACGAAAUCGUACCCCAAACCGACACAGGUGGUCAGGUAGAGAAUACCAAGGCGCUUGAGAGAACUCGGGUGAAGGAACUAGGCAAAAUGGUGCCGUAACUUCGGGAGAAGGCACGCUGAUAUGUAGGUGAAGCGACUUGCUCGUGGAGCUGAAAUCAGUCGAAGAUACCAGCUGGCUGCAACUGUUUAUUAAAAACACAGCACUGUGCAAACACGAAAGUGGACGUAUACGGUGUGACGCCUGCCCGGUGCCGGAAGGUUAAUUGAUGGGGUCAUCCGUAAGGAGAAGCUCUUGAUCGAAGCCCCGGUAAACGGCGGCCGUAACUAUAACGGUCCUAAGGUAGCGAAAUUCCUUGUCGGGUAAGUUCCGACCUGCACGAAUGGCGUAAUGAUGGCCAGGCUGUCUCCACCCGAGACUCAGUGAAAUUGAACUCGCUGUGAAGAUGCAGUGUACCCGCGGCAAGACGGAAAGACCCCGUGAACCUUUACUAUAGCUUGACACUGAACACUGGUCCUUGAUGUGUAGGAUAGGUGGGAGGCUUUGAAGCGUGGACGCCAGUCUGCGUGGAGCCAUCCUUGAAAUACCACCCUUUAAUGGCUGGUGUUCUAACGUGGACCCGUAAUCCGGGUUGCGGACAGUGUCUGGUGGGUAGUUUGACUGGGGCGGUCUCCUCCUAAAGCGUAACGGAGGAGCACGAAGGUCAGCUAAUCCUGGUCGGACAUCAGGAGGUUAGUGCAAUGGCAUAAGCUGGCUUGACUGCGAGCGUGACGGCGCGAGCAGGUGCGAAAGCAGGUCAUAGUGAUCCGGUGGUUCUGAAUGGAAGGGCCAUCGCUCAACGGAUAAAAGGUACUCCGGGGAUAACAGGCUGAUACCGCCCAAGAGUUCAUAUCGACGGCGGUGUUUGGCACCUCGAUGUCGGCUCAUCACAUCCUGGGGCUGAAGUAGGUCCCAAGGGUAUGGCUGUUCGCCAUUUAAAGUGGUACGCGAGCUGGGUUUAGAACGUCGUGAGACAGUUCGGUCCCUAUCUGCCGUGGGCGCUGGAGAAUUGAGGGGGGCUGCUCCUAGUACGAGAGGACCGGAGUGGACGCAUCACUGGUGUUCGGGUUGUCAUGCCAAUGGCACUGCCCGGUAGCUAAAUGCGGAAGAGAUAAGUGCUGAAAGCAUCUAAGCACGAAACUUGCCCCGAGAUGAGUUCUCCCUGAGACUUUAAGUCUCCUGAAGGAACGUUGAAGACGACGACGUUGAUAGGCCGGGUGUGUAAGCGCAGCGAUGCGUUGAGCUAACCGGUACUAAUGAACCGUGAGGCUUAACCUUACAACGCCGAAG
RNAcentral lists this ribosomal RNA (2814 nucleotides) under Kosakonia sacchari. RNAcentral describes it as "partial 23S ribosomal RNA". It matches the Rfam family "Bacterial large subunit ribosomal RNA". The record is from RNAcentral. Lineage: Bacteria; Pseudomonadati; Pseudomonadota; Gammaproteobacteria; Enterobacterales; Enterobacteriaceae.